Molecule: long non-coding RNA, 1942 nt
Filed under: Dermacentor andersoni
Lineage: Eukaryota; Metazoa; Arthropoda; Arachnida; Ixodida; Ixodidae
Description: uncharacterized LOC126543915
Source: RNAcentral
CGCUAAGCGGAAAGUGUCGCCGCUGAGUUUUUAAGACCCAAGUCAGGGAUCGAGUGAGUGCACUUUGGGAAGCAACUCGCGGCAUGUGAUGUGCGCAAUGCCGAGAUCUGGCCAUGUGCCCUGCCCUUUCCUGCACUGGCAAGAAAGCUUCCCCCAAGAAAGCGCGCUUUUGUAAGAUGGCUUCCCCACACCUACUCAACCUUAUGCACGACAAUGUGCGGAAGCCAUAUUGUGUGGAUGUGCUUUCUUGUGCAGAAGCAUUUUUUUUUUCUUUCCUUGAUGGUGCCCCAUGAACACUUCCACCAGUGCCAUUGAGUGGGGUUGCCGUGAUUUGUGAUUUCUGUGGAAGUUUGCCUUAACCAAACUGCACACAAUGCAGUUCGUCUUAAGAGGAUCUUUUUUCCAUUGAGGCCUAUAGGAAACCAACCAAAUGUCUCACAGUGUUCGUGGUAACAGGAGUCUACUGUAUAACGUGGCACAUUUAUAUGCACAUGCAUGAAGAAAAGUAAGAAAUCGGAGGAACAUGUUGAAGGCGUGCGCCGUUAUAUGCCCAGGAAGUUGGCAUGGAAAAGCACUAAGAGUGCAAAAAACUGCUUGCUCCUCUUGCUAGCGUUUGAAUAACAGUGCUGCAAUCAAUGCAGCAAACUGUGUUGUUGAUAUUUAUAUCAACGACCUUACAAAUAUCUGUACUAAACCAAAAUAUGUCCUAUAUGCGGAUGGCGCCAGUACUUUUAAAACAGCCCUAUAUUGUAAUCAACUGGUAAAUGUGGCAAACUCGCUCCCUAUAAACCCGAAAACAUGGUCAAUAGCAAACCAGCUGAAAAUAAAUGUUAAUAAAACAAAAGCUGUUAUAUUCAGGCCAAAAUCAAAGCAGUUCGACGUUCCCGUAAAUUUAACGUAUGGGGGCGAAGCACUGGAAACAACUGAUCAAAAUAAACUUUUUGGAGUAAGUUUUUCUAAUAUGCUAUGGGAUAACCACACUGACACUGGCAAAGUUAACUCAUUUAGUUGGAGUUUUAUCCCACCUUAGGUCAUAUCUACCAUUAAAUGUCAAACUUCUCUAUUAUUUGCUUUUUUUUACUCGCAUCUAAAUUACUAUUUAUUGGUUUGGGGCACCACUACUCAAUCUAAUUUACAAAACCUUUUUGUCCGCCUGAAAAAGCUUGUCAGACUGCUUUAUGAAUCGCAUAUAACAGCCAUACGCACAUCUUUUUUUUUCAAGGAACAAACAAUUUACCAAAAAAAUCUCUAAGCUAACACUAGCCUUCAAGCGUGAAGUACUUGAAAAUAGGAUGUUUUUACACAAAUUAUCACUAAAAGAGAACAUUUACGUAUAGAGUACUCGUCACUAAGAAAAAUGGGAUGCUAUAACCCCUUGGACUAACUACUCCAGAGAAAAACUGUCCUUCAUCCUGCCCACUCUCCUGAAUAAUUACAAAAGUACCACUGACACUUUAAAAAUAACUAAAGCUGAAAUACGGCAACACUAUACGAGGUAUCUAAACCUUCUCAUUGAUUGAGAUUUGUUGACUCCUUGUAUCCAUUUCGGUGCCUAUGUAUUUUUUCGAAAUCGGUUUUGUUCCUGCAACCUUUUUUUACUGCCGUCUUGUAGAGGGGGCUGCGGGCCCCUGUCAAGCUGCCGUUUGCUCAGGCAGCUUUUACCUGCAGCCGCCUCCAUCUUUUUUGAUUGGAAAUAAACUUAUUAUAAAUGUCAGUGCAGCUUCCCAAUUGCAUGCUUCUCUUGCUUAAUGAUACAGCUGGAUUGUUUGUUUUGAGUCUUAUGUGAUUGACCAUGAAAAUGCACACAUUCCUUCAUGUUUAUUUUGGAUGGUUUCUUACUGCACAUACUUAAAAAGCGCUGGCAAAUAGUGCGUAAAAUACACAUACUGCAGCCGCUGAAUCAAGCUGUCAAUAAAUGAUACGCAUUUUUUCACAUGGAUAA